CCUGUCCCAGCUCUACACAGUUAUACCUGCCACAACAUGUGUGACUUUCGUAAAGAGGAGAGAAAGGAUGCCCUCAGGACCUCGGGCAGGCCUCCUGUGGUAUGUCCCUUCCGGGGGUGGGGGGUGGG
Echinops telfairi (small Madagascar hedgehog) is the source of this 128-nucleotide small nucleolar RNA. NCBI's taxonomy places the organism in Eukaryota, Metazoa, Chordata, Mammalia, Afrosoricida, Tenrecidae. The record is from Ensembl.